This 80-nucleotide transfer RNA is filed under the name Treponema sp. RNAcentral describes it as "tRNA-Leu". It matches the Rfam family "tRNA". Rfam says of the family: Transfer RNA (tRNA) molecules are approximately 80 nucleotides in length. Their secondary structure includes four short double-helical elements and three loops (D, anti-codon, and T loops). Further hydrogen bonds mediate the characteristic L-shaped molecular structure. tRNAs have two regions of fundamental functional importance: the anti-codon, which is responsible for specific mRNA codon recognition, and the 3' end, to which the tRNAs corresponding amino acid is attached (by aminoacyl-tRNA synthetases). tRNAs cope with the degeneracy of the genetic code in two manners: having more than one tRNA (with a specific anti-codon) for a particular amino acid; and 'wobble' base-pairing, i.e. permitting non-standard base-pairing at the 3rd anti-codon position. Lineage: Bacteria; Pseudomonadati; Spirochaetota; Spirochaetia; Treponematales; Treponemataceae. The record is from RNAcentral.
GCGAGAGUGGUGAAAUUGGUAGACACGCCAGACUUAGGAUCUGGUGCUCCGGCAUGGGGGUUCGAGUCCCUUCUCUCGCA